Molecule: non-coding RNA, 553 nt
Organism: Chrysemys picta bellii (western painted turtle)
Lineage: Eukaryota; Metazoa; Chordata; Testudines; Emydidae
Source: RefSeq, a predicted model, not a curated record
GGAGCUGGCGGGGCAGAGCUGCUGCAUGUUCUCGGCAGCCCCCGGGCGCUGCCCACGGGGCUGGAGGCUUCACUUGGUCCCUCUCUCCUCAGAGGAAGCAGAUCUGCCUGGCUUGUGUCAAGUUUGACUCCCGCAGCGGGGGAAAGGUGCUGGGUAGCUACACGCACUGCAGGAUGGAGAAGCAGCAGCCUGAGAAGGAGAUGGAGAUGAGACAGGAGGAGGAGUGCAGGACUGUGCAGGAGAUGGGCGAAGUGCGCCACCGUAUCGGCAUGUAUGGCUUCUCCAAAGAGCUGCCGUCCUAGCCACCUCCACAUCCACAGCAUGCCUGGGCACCUCUGGGACCCUCGACCUGCGGAAGGACGCUGCUAUCGGCGCUGACCAGUGGAGACCCGGCAACCACCCCUGCCCGUCAGACACUGCGCCCGCUCCAGCACCAGGCCGGGCAGAGCGGCCUGGCCAACGGAUCCUGCUGCUCCUUCCUCCCCACCCCCGCCUCGCUCAGCUCCAUCGCCCGGCUGUUCAUCCCCAAUAAAGCCAGAGCCCCACUUCGGAA